GGCUCGUAGGCGGUUCGUCGCGUCCGGUGUGAAAGUCCAUCGCUUAACGGUGGAUCUGCGCCGGGUACGGGCGGGCUGGAGUGCGGUAGGGGAGACUGGAAUUCCCGGUGUAACGGUGGAAUGUGUAGAUAUCGGGAAGAACACCAAUGGCGAAGGCAGGUCUCUGGGCCGUUACUGACGCUGAGGAGCGAAAGCGUGGGGAGCGAACA
Molecule: ribosomal RNA, 209 nt
Filed under: uncultured bacterium
Lineage: Bacteria
Description: partial 16S ribosomal RNA
Rfam family: Bacterial small subunit ribosomal RNA
Source: RNAcentral